Long non-coding RNA from Hemicordylus capensis (graceful crag lizard), 1329 nucleotides. RefSeq lists it as uncharacterized. The transcript is spliced from 2 exons. The record is from RefSeq and is a predicted model, not a curated record. NCBI's taxonomy places the organism in Eukaryota, Metazoa, Chordata, Lepidosauria, Squamata, Cordylidae.
GCAUCGGACGGAGCCAAGCGUCUCGCGGAAUGCAAGCGACGACGAGCAACAUCGUUACACGUAUGGGCGUGCUGGAUUGUCACUGGGCAUCUCCCGCUCUUAACUUGGGCGUCUCCUUGCAGUGUCAGAAAUUAGCUCGAAAGUGUCCCAGAGCAGUUCUCAAAGUGGUUGACGCAGCAAAAGGAAUGAGAAGAUGGGCCUGUCCCAAUAUGGGGUUUACAAUCGAAAAAUGGACAGGGUCCCCUCGCGUACGGAUUAGGGCGAGCGGAAGCGCUUCCGGACCAGAGGGUGUUAUUUCGAGGCAAACUUCAGCCCCAGGACUUGUUUUUUCCCGGAAAAUGAGCAGUUCUCCCCCCCCCGCGCCGCAAAAACCUCUUUCGUGUGAAAGAGGAAGAGUCACCACGUAUCGGUGGUGAGCACUAGUUUAAGUCUUAAAUGUGUAGCUGCUACUGCAAGACCGCCUCCCACCCCUCACUUAAUUUGGAAUCCUCACAACCCAACAGUUCCUCCGAUCUCUGCUGGAGUGCCAGCCAGCCAGCCAUUUUGCAGGGGCAGAAUUUACCUUUAGAGUUUGAAGGAAGAUAGAUACACUUACCGUGGUCCAAAUGACUAUAUAGAGACGAGUAAAUAAAGCUUGAAUAGAUGCAUGUUUUUCACUGGAAAUCCCUUUCCUUGAACCCAAGCCUCAUGGUGUUAUGUGCAGGUCUCUCUGCAGGUUUGUUGUGUGAGUGACUGUGUAAACCCCAACUCUUAAGUAUCUUCAUAUAACAUAUCUUUAUAUUCAUUGCCUAGCCUGAAGACAUAGAUGAGUGUGUUUCCAAUAUCCUUCAUAGAACCAACUUUUGUUGGAAUUGGAACUACAACUUAGGAAAGGUGAUAUUUCUUAUUAGGACCAUUGUCAUUUGCUCACAAAAACUGUGGAAUAUUUGAACUUCAAAUUGUGGGUCAGUUUUUCAUUUGUGUUUCCAGACUAGUCAAAUUACUGGCAUUGUUCUGGGGGCUUUCUGCAGGCUUUCUAGUUACUCAGAAUUCUGCAUCAGGCUGAAUGGAAUGGAAGUUUUGACUAAUAUUCUGCAGCAGACUUGUUUUUGUUCAUAAUGUGUAUAGUACUUUUUGGUGUGCAAAAUGUUUUACCAUUAUUCAUCAUUGCCACAAUCUUGUGACUAUGAAUGCCUUACUUUUAAUUGUGAUAAAAAUUUUAUUGAAAGUGGACAUGCUUAAAGGUUGUGUGUGGAAUGUUUUAUGUCUUUGAAGCUGAUAACAUUCUUAAUGUGAAAAAUAAAGGACCACUUAAUUGCCUCUGAAUAUUAAAGUGGUUAAAAUAUGAAA